Molecule: non-coding RNA, 536 nt
Organism: Neolamprologus brichardi
Lineage: Eukaryota; Metazoa; Chordata; Actinopteri; Cichliformes; Cichlidae
Source: RefSeq, a predicted model, not a curated record
UACUGCUGUUAAACGAGUGGAUGGGUUUUACUUUUGCAGACUGACAUUAUUAAAGCCAUCGCCCGUCUGAUUGAAUUCUACAAGCAUGAGAGUUGUGGCCAGUGCACACCGUGCAGAGAGGGAGUGGACUGGAUGAAUAAGAUGAUGUGGCGUUUUGCGAGUGGUGAUGCACGUUCAGCAGAGAUAGACAUGAUUUGGGAGAUCAGCAAGCAGAUUGAGGGGCACAGUAUCUGUGCACUGGGCGACGGUGCGGCGUGGCCUGUGCAGGGAUUGAUCAGGCACUUCCGACCUGUCAUGGAAAGCCGAAUUGCUGAAUUCCAGCAGCAGAAGCAGGCAAGGGUUUGAACGGCUUCUUCAAGUCCUUGAUCUAAUUUUCCUUCGCCCAGAACCCUGUGUUUGUCUUUCACAGAUUAUUUAAAGAAAAGAGAAUGUGCCGUCUUAUCAACUCUUCAUCAAGCGUUGCAUUGAUGUGUCUGCCUUGUGAAACAAUAUUACCAAUAAAGUUCUAUGAUACUUUAAUAAAGACUUAUUCUUUU